GGACUACUGGGGUAUCUAAUCCUGUUUGCUCCCCACGCUUUCGCGCCUCAGCGUCAGUUGCAGGCCAGCAAGCUGCCUUCGCCAUGGGUGUUCCGAUCGAUAUCUACGCAUUUCACCGCUACACCGACCAUUCCACUUGCCUCUCCCGCACUCAAGGUCCCCAGUAUGAAAGGCAGUCUACGGGUUGAGCCCGUACAUUUCACCACUCACUUAAAGACCCGCCUACGCGCGCUUUACGCCCAGUAACUUCGGACAACGCUCGCCCCCUACGUAUUACCGCGGCUGCUGGCAC
Molecule: ribosomal RNA, 292 nt
Filed under: uncultured bacterium
Lineage: Bacteria
Description: partial 16S ribosomal RNA
Source: RNAcentral